RNAcentral lists this ribosomal RNA (301 nucleotides) under uncultured bacterium. Its description in RNAcentral is "partial 16S ribosomal RNA". It matches the Rfam family "Bacterial small subunit ribosomal RNA", at positions 509 to 809 of the family's 1533-position model. The record is from RNAcentral.
CAGUCGCCACGGUAAUACAGAGGGUGCGAGCGUUGUCCGGAACUAUUGGGCGUAAAGGGCUCGCAGGCGGUUUCUUAGGUCUGAUGUGAAAGCCCCCGGCUCAACCGGGGAGGGUCAUUGGAAACUGGGAAACUUGAGUGCAGAAGAGGAGAGUGGAAUUCCACGUGUAGCGGUGAAAUGCGUAGAGAUGUGGAGGAACACCAGUGGCGAAGGCGACUCUCUGGUCUGUAACUGACGCUGAGGAGCGAAAGCGUGGGGAGCGAACGGGAUUAGAUACCCCAGUAGUCCCUGUCUCUUAUAA